This 639-nucleotide ribosomal RNA is filed under the name uncultured Bacteroidales bacterium. RNAcentral describes it as "bacterial SSU rRNA". It matches the Rfam family "Bacterial small subunit ribosomal RNA", at positions 89 to 725 of the family's 1533-position model. The record is from RNAcentral. Lineage: Bacteria; Pseudomonadati; Bacteroidota; Bacteroidia; Bacteroidales.
UGGCGACCGGCGCACGGGUGAGUAACGCGUAUGCAACUUGCCUAUCAGAGGGGGAUAACCCGGCGAAAGUCGGACUAAUAUCGCAUGAAGCAGGGAUCCCGCAUGGGGAUAUUUGCUAAAGAUUCAUCGCUGAUAGAUAGGCAUGCGUUCCAUUAGGCAGUUGGCGGGGUAACGGCCCACCAAACCGACGAUGGAUAGGGGUUCUGAGAGGAAGGUCCCCCACAUUGGUACUGAGACACGGACCAAACUCCUACGGGAGGCAGCAGUGAGGAAUAUUGGUCAAUGGCCGAGAGGCUGAACCAGCCAAGUCGCGUGAGGGAUGAAGGUUCUAUGGAUCGUAAACCUCUUUUAUAAGGGAAUAAAGUGCGGGACGUGUCCCGUUUUGUAUGUACCUUAUGAAUAAGGAUCGGCUAACUCCGUGCCAGCAGCCGCGGUAAUACGGAGGAUCCGAGCGUUAUCCGGAUUUAUUGGGUUUAAAGGGUGCGUAGGCGGCCUUUUAAGUCAGCGGUGAAAGUCUGUGGCUCAACCAUAGAAUUGCCGUUGAAACUGGGGGGCUUGAGUAUGUUUGAGGCAGGCGGAAUGCGUGGUGUAGCGGUGAAAUGCAUAGAUAUCACGCAGAACCCCGAUUGCGAAGGCAGC